RNAcentral lists this ribosomal RNA (253 nucleotides) under uncultured bacterium. RNAcentral describes it as "partial 16S ribosomal RNA". It matches the Rfam family "Bacterial small subunit ribosomal RNA", at positions 524 to 776 of the family's 1533-position model. The record is from RNAcentral.
UACGUAGGGGGCUAGCGUUGUCCGGAAUCAUUGGGCGUAAAGCGCGUGUAGGCGGUCCGGUAAGUCCGCUGUGAAAGUCGGGGGCUCAACCCUCGGAUGCCGGUGGAUACUGUCGGGCUUGAGUACGGAAGAGGCGAGUGGAAUUCCUGGUGUAGCGGUGAAAUGCGCAGAUAUCAGGAGGAACACCAAUUGCGAAGGCGGCUCACUGGCCCGGUACUGGCGCUGAGGUGCGAAAGCGUGGGGAGCAAACAGG